Molecule: long non-coding RNA, 1146 nt
Filed under: Homo sapiens (human)
Lineage: Eukaryota; Metazoa; Chordata; Mammalia; Primates; Hominidae
Description: non-protein coding LINC02470:21
Source: RNAcentral
AGUCCACCUGCGCGGCUGAGUGGAGGAUGCUAGGUUGCUGUGCUGUUUCUCCUACUGUCUUGCUGCCGCACCACCCCUCAGAAAAACCGGGUCGUCAGUUUCCUGCGGUUUGCACUCACCAAAUAUACUUAGCAAUUUGCAAUUCACCCGCAGGAUUAUUCCAGCCUCUGUGAUCACACACAGAAGGAUGAGCCUUCCUCGUGAGGGUUGGAGAUGGAGGGAGAAGGGAUGGAGAGUAAGGAUGGGACGGAGGUUGUGGAGCAGCAGACCAACACGCCAGGUGGGUGAGGUUGUGUGAUUAUUCUAGCAUCUUUUCUUGAUCCUAGCUUGCACCCUUUUAGCAUUGGGAGGGAAGGGCAGGGUAGGGGAUAGCGACCAUAAUAUAGAUCUUAAGUAAAAGCAGUUUUCAUUAAUAAAACAAAGACUUCAAUAAUAAUGAUAAUUGGCGAUUCCAGCCUCCUCCAUCAUAUUGGAAAAGACAGUAUUUCAUUAAAAAUACUUGGAAUUUUCCCUUGGAAAAGGCAGUAUUUUAUUAAAAGACGCUGCGAGGAAACUGUUGGUUUUCUGUUCUGGAAGCAGGGCAGAAGAAUUAGUAACACAGUUCUGCCAAAUAGCACAGGAAAGUGGAGCCAAAGCACCUUCGAGGCUCCUGAUGUUCAAACGUUAGGUCUUAGUUCCCUUUCUUAUUUUUCUAAUACAUUAAUUGCUGAAUUGUGAACAGUAGAACACGCGGAAGAUAGAGAAAAGAGAUAAACAUGAUGGGUUUUUUGUUGGUUUGCUUGCUUUUUUUCUCUCUGGAACAUAAACAAUGACAUCUGUUUCUCUUUGGUAUAAUAGAAAGGAAAAUAAUGAUCAUCUCAAUUUUUAUAUGUGGAGGCAUUGCUUUUCUUCUUUGGGGGAUUUUAAGAUUUCCCAGAAAAUUUGGAAUUCCAAGGCACCUUAGAAACAAGACAUGCCUAGAAAAUUUGACUAUGUGUCCACAAGGCUGGAACUGAAUCAAUAAUAAUUGCUUCUUUCAAUCUGAACAUGAAACAACGUGGAUCAAUGGCUGAGAAAACUGCAGAAGUUAUGGAUCUCUGGCCAGGCUCAACUCUCAGAAUGAAAUGGUUAGAUUUCUUCUUUGCAAUAUUAAACUCAUUUAAUAGC